GUGUCUCGAGACUAGGACGUGGCUCCAGGAGUGCUCGGGCCAGCUGGUCCUUUUCCCGUCCCUCCCCGUGAAGGAGGGAGGCUGGUAGCUUUGCCAGCAGCUGCACCGCGGCAGGGGUGGCCCAUGGACCUGCCCGAGGGCCCGGUGGGUGGCCCCACUGCGGAAAGAAAGAGGUAACACCAACCCCAUUUUCCAGAGGAAGAAACCGAGGCCCAAGAGAAGUUGAGUCCAUUGCCCCAAGUGCCACCACUUGUCUGAGGCCAAGCCUCGGUUUCCCCCUGGAUCUACCCAGUCCUGCAGCCUGUGCUCAGUGAGCUGCUGCACCCAGCUGUUCAAGGCCAGGGCAGGGAGCCUAGAAGGUCACUUCCAGCCCUGGGAGAGAGGCUGGGCCAGCCCAGUGGCUCCUGCAGUUGAGAAUCUCUCCCUAUGUCAUGGAGCAUUUGUUGAGCACCUGCCAUCUGCAGGUGUUGUGGCUACAACAGUAGACAAAUAGACCCCAGGACGUGUGUGUGUGUGUGUGUGUGUGUACAUGUGUGUGCUUCACAUACAC
This 550-nucleotide small RNA is filed under the name Pongo abelii (Sumatran orangutan). Its description in RNAcentral is "processed transcript". Lineage: Eukaryota; Metazoa; Chordata; Mammalia; Primates; Hominidae. The record is from RNAcentral.